UGAAGGCCACUAUCUCACCUUGUCCUCACGGUCCAGUUUUCCCAGGAAUCCCUUAGAUGCUAAGAUGGGGAUUCCUGGAAAUACUGUUCUUGAGGUCAUGGUUUAACAGCUGGAUUCGCCUCCUU
This 125-nucleotide microRNA precursor is filed under the name Cervus elaphus hippelaphus. The stretch from base 17 to 102 matches the Rfam family "mir-145 microRNA precursor family". The record is from RNAcentral. Lineage: Eukaryota; Metazoa; Chordata; Mammalia; Artiodactyla; Cervidae.